Molecule: ribosomal RNA, 394 nt
Filed under: uncultured bacterium
Lineage: Bacteria
Description: bacterial SSU rRNA
Rfam family: Bacterial small subunit ribosomal RNA
Source: RNAcentral
UAUUGCGCAAUGGAGGAAACCCUGAUGCAGCGACGCCGCGUGAGUGAAGAAGUAUUUCGGUAUGUAAAGCUCUAUCAGCAGGGAAGUAAAUGACGGUUCCUGAUUAAGAAGCCCCGGCUAACUACGUUCCAGCAGCCGCGGUAAUACGUAGGGGGCAAGCGUUAUCCAGAUUUACUGGGUGUAAAGGGAGCGUAGACGGUGAUGCAAGUCAGAAGUGAAAGCCCGGGGCUCAACUCCGGGACUGCUUUUGAAACUGUGUGACUAGAGUGCAGGAGAGGUAAGCGGAAUUCCUGGUGUAGCGGUGAAAUGCGUAGAUAUCAGGAGGAACACCAGUGGCGAAGGCGGCUUGCUGGACUGUAACUGACGUUGAGGCUCGAAAGCGUGGGGAGCAAAC